AUGCGAUACUCCCAACGUGUGGAUCUUGCUCAAGCUGGUGUACAUACCUUCACCAGCAAACAGGUAAUACUCAUCGUCGAAGAGGUUGUCAGGGUUGGCAUUAUCAUUCAUGAGACCACUAAGGUAAGCGUCCAUGUCGGUUGCACGGGUGCCGAUUCAAUAAAUGAGUGUUCAGUGUCAAGGGACACAAGAAGAGUAAGGAUGGGAGUGUUACCUUCACUCCUGAUCGUGUACUCUGGCGUGCUAGAUGAGGUUGAGGCACCAUGUGCUUCAAGUAUGGUUGGUUGUCCCGUUGAGCUCAUUUUCGGUAUGAAGAUAGUCCUGGCAGUUGGGGUCUUAACCCUACUUGCAAAGCUUGCAUUACGACGAUUUAGCAGAGCCUUCCUCUCACCACGUGGCACCUGCGUACAUGAUUUUCGUUUGCCAAUUUUCUCUUGA
Molecule: ribosomal RNA, 438 nt
Filed under: Triticum aestivum (bread wheat)
Lineage: Eukaryota; Viridiplantae; Streptophyta; Magnoliopsida; Poales; Poaceae
Description: partial small subunit ribosomal RNA
Source: RNAcentral